GUACACUCCUGCGGGAGGCGGCAGUGGGGAAUUUUGAACAAUGGGGGCAACCCUGAUCCAGCAAUGCCGCGUGAGUGAAGAAGGCCUUCGGGUUGUAAAGCUCUUUUGUCAGGGAAGAAACGGUGGUGGCGAAUAACUACUACUAAUGACGGUACCUGAAGAAUAAGCACCGGCUAACUACGUGCCAGCAGCCGCGGUAAUACGUAGGGUGCAAGCGUUAAUCGGAAUUACUGGGCGUAAAGCGUGCGCAGGCGGUUGUGUAAGUCAGAUGUGAAAUCCCCGGGCUCAACCUGGGAAUUGCAUUUGAGACUGCACGGCUAGAGUGUGUCAGAGGGGGGUAGAAUUCCACGUGUAGCAGUGAAAUGCGUAGAUAUGUGGAGGAAUACCGAUGGCGAAGGCAGCCCCCUGGGAUAACACUGACGCUCAUGCACGAAAGCGUGGGGAGCAAACAGGAUUAGAUACCCUGGUAGUCCCAUG
Molecule: ribosomal RNA, 477 nt
Filed under: uncultured organism
Description: partial 16S ribosomal RNA
Rfam family: Bacterial small subunit ribosomal RNA
Source: RNAcentral